Molecule: ribosomal RNA, 267 nt
Filed under: Triticum aestivum (bread wheat)
Lineage: Eukaryota; Viridiplantae; Streptophyta; Magnoliopsida; Poales; Poaceae
Description: partial small subunit ribosomal RNA
Source: RNAcentral
AUGGAGAGUGUCGAAGUCACCGCUGCAAGUGGGAGCUCCGGGAGAGCUGGGAUCAUUGUGUGGACCAAUUCCAUGACGAAAACCAUGCUUGGUUUUUUGGCUGGUCUUGUUGCUGAUGGGAAGAGAACUUCAAGUGGAUUCAGAGAUGUGCAUCAUAGACAAUGUGCUGCUGUUUUGAACGAGCAAUUCAAGCUGUCAAGUAUGGUUGUAUGGUUGUAUGGUUGCCAAGCAUGUGAACUUCACAUGUAUGGCUGUAGUGCACUUUGA